CCCUUAGAUGUUCUGGGCUGCACGCGUGCUACAAUGGCGUUUCCAGCAAGUCUGCGAACCCGAGAGGGCCAGCGGAUCUUCGAAUUGGCGUCGUGAUCGGGACAGUCGAUUGCAAUUAUUUGACUCAAACGAGGAAUUCCUUGCAAUCGCGAUUCAUCAUAUCGCGCUGAAUACGUCCCUGCCCUUUGUACACACCGCCCGUCGCUCCUACCGAUUGAGCGAUCCGGUAAAUGUUUUGGAUUGGUGCCGGGGCGGCUAGCUGCCGGUCGCUACGAAAUUUUGUGAACCUUAUCGCUUAGAGGAAGGAAAAGUCGUAACA
This 319-nucleotide ribosomal RNA is filed under the name uncultured eukaryote. Its description in RNAcentral is "partial 18S ribosomal RNA". It matches the Rfam family "Eukaryotic small subunit ribosomal RNA", at positions 1470 to 1796 of the family's 1831-position model. The record is from RNAcentral.